Molecule: non-coding RNA, 205 nt
Organism: Meleagris gallopavo (turkey)
Lineage: Eukaryota; Metazoa; Chordata; Aves; Galliformes; Phasianidae
Source: RefSeq, a predicted model, not a curated record
GAGAAAUUUCUCCUACACUAGCAAUACCCAUCUGAAACUCUACUGCAUGUUCACAGGCGGUGACUGCUGCGGAUGGGGCAGUGGCAGUGGGAGACGGCGAGGUGGUGGCAGCAGAGCUGGUGAGGUGCUGCCCCCACUGCACAGGAGGCUGCUGCUGAAGGCAACAAACCUCAGGGAGAAGAAAAGGAGGUUGAUGUUUCUCAGG